UCCUACUGACUUUGGCUUCCCAUCUGGUCCUGAGUGGGCUGAUUUCCUUGACGAGGCUGGUGGCACUGGUUUGCCUGACGAUGGUGAUGAUGCUGAUGAUGAUGUUGAUGAGCUCUGAGCGUGGUUGGUGCUGUUGGUGCCUCCCUUUUUGGUACUUGGUGCCAAAGGGGGAGUAAUGUAUCGUAGUUCUUAGUCUUUGGAGAUUUAAUGUAAUGGAUAAACGCAUGUAUGGCUACUUAUGAAUGAUUGUGAUUGCUAUGGAUUGCUAUGAUAUCAUCAUAGACUAUUAUGUUU
RNAcentral lists this long non-coding RNA (294 nucleotides) under Hordeum vulgare. Its description in RNAcentral is "long non-coding RNA (HVUL_LNC019550)". Lineage: Eukaryota; Viridiplantae; Streptophyta; Magnoliopsida; Poales; Poaceae. The record is from RNAcentral.